RNAcentral lists this unclassified non-coding RNA (379 nucleotides) under uncultured Diversisporaceae. Its description in RNAcentral is "sequence contains 18S rRNA gene". The record is from RNAcentral. Lineage: Eukaryota; Fungi; Glomeromycota; Glomeromycetes; Diversisporales.
CCCAACUAUCCCUAUUAAUCAUUACGGUGAUCCUAGAAACCAACGAAAUAGAAUCAGUCCGUCCUAUUUCAUUAUUCCAUGCUAAUGUAUUCAGACGAUAGUCUGCUUUAAACACUCUAAUUUUUUCAAAGUAACAGUCCUGAUUUCCCAUCACACCAAAUAAAUGACAUGAAAGUUCCUCAGAAGGUAGAGAUCCAUCUCACCAGUACAGACAAUUAAGCCUGACCAAUGGGUAGACCCCGAAGUUCAACUACGAGCUUUUUAACUGCAACAACUUUAAUAUACGCUAUUGGAAUAAUAGAAUAGGACAUCGGUUCUAUUUUGUUGGUUUCUAGGACCGCUGUAAUGAUUAAUAGGGAUAGUUGGGUUAGCCCAUAGU